CACGUAGGGGGCGAGCGUUGUCCGGAUUUAUUGGGCGUAAAGAGCUCGUAGGCGGCUCGGUAAGUCGGGUGUGAAACCUCCAGGCUCAACCUGGAGACGCCACCUGAUACUGCUGUGGCUAGAGUCCGGUAGGGGAGUCGUGGAAUCCUGGUGUAGCGGUGAAAUGCGCAGAUAUCAGGAGGAACACCGGUGGCGAAGGCGGGUCUCUGGGCCGGAACUGACGCUGAGGAGCGAAAGCGUGGGGAGCGAACAGG
Molecule: ribosomal RNA, 254 nt
Filed under: uncultured bacterium
Lineage: Bacteria
Description: partial 16S ribosomal RNA
Rfam family: Bacterial small subunit ribosomal RNA
Source: RNAcentral